This 560-nucleotide ribosomal RNA is filed under the name Taeniogyrus dunedinensis. RNAcentral describes it as "eukaryotic LSU rRNA". It matches the Rfam family "Eukaryotic large subunit ribosomal RNA", at positions 41 to 527 of the family's 3401-position model. Lineage: Eukaryota; Metazoa; Echinodermata; Holothuroidea; Apodida; Chiridotidae. The record is from RNAcentral.
UAUCACUAAGCGGAGGAAAAGAAACUAACAAGGAUUCCCUCAGUAGCGGCGAGUGAAGUGGGAAGAGCCCAUCGCCGAAUCCCCGCAUGCCGCAAGGCGUGCGCGGGAAUUGUGGCGUGAGGAAAACAGAAUCCUGGCCGUUCCAAGGUCGCCGAGGUCCCCAUGACCGGGGCUCCUUCCGUAGUGGGUGUGAGGCCCAUUCAGGCACCAGGGCGGUCGGGAGUAUGCUUUCCAAGAGUCGGGUUGUUUGAGAAUGCAGCCCAAAGACGGGUGGUGAACUCCAUCCAAGGCUAAAUAUUAAACACGAGUCCGAUAGAAGACAAGUACCGUGAGGGAACGUUGAAAAAAACUCUGAAGARAGGGUUCAAGAUUGCGUGAAACCGCCGARAARAAAACGGACAAAAUCCGCWUGCUAAAUGARACCCCGUGANAUUCNACCCCGGGCGGCUUCUGGCUACGGGCCGGUAUGAUCCGCAAGGACGNCCCGGUGCGGCUUCNGGUCCCUGCNCACACUUCUUUCGUUUGCUUCUUACUGNUAACGGUUACCGUCAACAUAAUCU